GUCUGGAGCUGCACCACCUAGAGUUGUGAUCUUAUCAGAUUUCCCAUGCUAAGCAGGGCUAGGUCUGGUAGUACUUGGAUGGGAAACCUGCAAGGUAAAUGCAGGCUCCAGCAG
RNAcentral lists this ribosomal RNA (114 nucleotides) under Gopherus agassizii (Agassiz's desert tortoise). The record is from RNAcentral. Lineage: Eukaryota; Metazoa; Chordata; Testudines; Testudinidae.